Molecule: ribosomal RNA, 470 nt
Filed under: uncultured Nitrosomonas sp.
Lineage: Bacteria; Pseudomonadati; Pseudomonadota; Betaproteobacteria; Nitrosomonadales; Nitrosomonadaceae
Description: bacterial SSU rRNA
Rfam family: Bacterial small subunit ribosomal RNA
Source: RNAcentral
AUUCUGGAGAAAAGCAGGGGAUCGCAAGACCUUGCGCUUUUGGAACGGCCGAUUUCUGAUUAGCUAGUUGAUGAGGUAAUGGCUUCCCAAGGCAUCGAUCACUAGCUGGUCUGAGAGGACGACCAGCCACACUGGGACUGAGACACGGCCCAGACUCCUACGGGAGGCAGCAGUGGGGAAUUUUGGACAAUGGGGGAAACCCUGAUCCAGCCAUGCCGCGUGAGUGAAGAAGGCCUUCGGGUUGUAAAGCUCUUCCAGCCGGAACGCAACGGUCACGCCUAAUAUCCCUGACAACUGAAGGUAGCGGAAGAAGAAGCACCGGCUAACUACGUGCCAGCAGCCGCGGUAAUACGUAGGGUGCGAGCGUUAUUCAGAAUAACUGGCCGUAAAGCGUGCGCAGGCGGUUUCGUAAGUCAGAUGUGAACUCCCGGGGCUUAACCUGGGAACUGCGUUUGAAACUACAAGGCUAG